Molecule: transfer RNA, 74 nt
Filed under: Bacteroidia bacterium
Lineage: Bacteria; Pseudomonadati; Bacteroidota; Bacteroidia
Description: tRNA-Arg
Rfam family: tRNA
About the family: Transfer RNA (tRNA) molecules are approximately 80 nucleotides in length.
Source: RNAcentral
GGUUCCAUAGCUUAACUGAAUAGAGCAUCUGACUACGGAUCAGAAGGUUGGGGGUUUGAAUCCCUCUGGGACCA